UAAUACGUAGGGUGCAAGCGUUGUCCGGAAUUAUUGGGCGUAAAGAGCUCGUAGGCGGUCUGUCACGUCGGCUGUGAAAACCCGAGGCUCAACCUCGGGCCUGCAGUCGAUACGGGCAAACUAGAGUACUGCAGGGGAGACUGGAAUUCCUGGUGUAGCGGUGAGAUGCGCAGAUAUCAGGAGGAACACCGGUGGCGAAGGCGGGUCUCUGGGCAGUAACUGACGCUGAGGAGCGAAAGCGUGGGGAGCGAACAG
This 255-nucleotide ribosomal RNA is filed under the name uncultured prokaryote. RNAcentral's name for it is "partial 16S ribosomal RNA". It matches the Rfam family "Bacterial small subunit ribosomal RNA", at positions 521 to 775 of the family's 1533-position model. The record is from RNAcentral.